This is a long non-coding RNA of Centruroides sculpturatus (bark scorpion), 296 nucleotides long. RefSeq lists it as uncharacterized. The record is from RefSeq and is a predicted model, not a curated record. The transcript has 3 exons. NCBI's taxonomy places the organism in Eukaryota, Metazoa, Arthropoda, Arachnida, Scorpiones, Buthidae.
ACUAGACUCCACCUACUACUGACAGGUGUUAUGACGUAUUGUUGACAGCCGUUAUGGCGGAAAGUUUGGAACGGUUUGUAUCCUUCGAAUUGUAAUUCAUCUUAUAAUUCGGAAUGGAUUUGACUGAAAUCGAAGACAGAACUUUACCUCCUAUAAAUAUGGAGCUUAGUGCUAAUAACUCUCAAGUAUCCAUGGAAAUUACAUCUGAUAGUGUGGAUGGAUUAUCUGGAGUGGGAUGUAAGACUGGUUAUAUAUCUCCAUUAAGAGCUCGCACAAUGAAGGAAUAUGAACAGGUG